GCCGCGGUCGCUGUAGUGGGUCAGCGCACCACUCCGGAAAAGAUGAGACCCGAUGGUUCGACUCCCGGCCAUGGCU
Molecule: non-coding RNA, 76 nt
Organism: Parelaphostrongylus tenuis
Lineage: Eukaryota; Metazoa; Nematoda; Chromadorea; Rhabditida; Metastrongylidae
Source: the annotation of a GenBank genome assembly